RNAcentral lists this transfer RNA (84 nucleotides) under Rickettsiales bacterium. RNAcentral's name for it is "tRNA-Leu". It matches the Rfam family "tRNA". From Rfam's summary of the family: Transfer RNA (tRNA) molecules are approximately 80 nucleotides in length. Their secondary structure includes four short double-helical elements and three loops (D, anti-codon, and T loops). Further hydrogen bonds mediate the characteristic L-shaped molecular structure. tRNAs have two regions of fundamental functional importance: the anti-codon, which is responsible for specific mRNA codon recognition, and the 3' end, to which the tRNAs corresponding amino acid is attached (by aminoacyl-tRNA synthetases). tRNAs cope with the degeneracy of the genetic code in two manners: having more than one tRNA (with a specific anti-codon) for a particular amino acid; and 'wobble' base-pairing, i.e. permitting non-standard base-pairing at the 3rd anti-codon position. The record is from RNAcentral. Lineage: Bacteria; Pseudomonadati; Pseudomonadota; Alphaproteobacteria; Rickettsiales.
GCCUCUGUGGUGGAAUUGGUAGACACGAUAGACUCAAAAUCUAUUGCCCAAAGCAUGCCGGUUCGAGUCCGGCCAGGGGUACCA